CAAGACUCCGUCUCAAAAAAAAAAAAAAGGAAUGGUACAGAGAAGAUUAGCAUGGUCCCGGUGCAAGGAUGACACACAGAUUUCCCAAGCAUUCCAUAUAAAA
This is a small nuclear RNA of Saimiri boliviensis boliviensis (Bolivian squirrel monkey), 103 nucleotides long. The record is from RefSeq and is a predicted model, not a curated record. NCBI's taxonomy places the organism in Eukaryota, Metazoa, Chordata, Mammalia, Primates, Cebidae.